RNAcentral lists this ribosomal RNA (788 nucleotides) under uncultured archaeon. RNAcentral describes it as "bacterial SSU rRNA". It matches the Rfam family "Archaeal small subunit ribosomal RNA", at positions 85 to 876 of the family's 1478-position model. The record is from RNAcentral.
ACGGCUCAGUAACACGUAGUCAACAUGCCCAGGGGACGUGGAUAACCUCGGGAAACUGAGGAUAAACCGCGAUAGGUCAUAAUAUCUGGAAUGAUUUAUGGCUAAAAUCUACAUGGCCCCUGGAUUGGACUGCGGCCGAUCAGGCUGUUGGUGAGGUAAUGGCCCACCAAACCUAAAACCGGUACGGGCUCUGAGAGGAGAAGCCCGGAGAUGGGCACUGAGACAAGGGCCCAGGCCCUAUGGGGCGCAGCAGGCGCGAAAACUCUGCAAUAAGCGAAAGCUUGACAGGGUUAUUCUGAGUGAUUUCCGCUAAGGAGAUCUUUUGGCACCUCUAAAAAUGGUGCAGAAUAAGGGGUGGGCAAGCCUGGUGUCAGCCGCCGCGGUAAUACCAGCACCCCGAGUGGUCGGGACGAUUAUUGGGCCUAAAGCAUCCGUAGCCGGUUCUACAAGUCUUCCGUUAAAUCCACCUGCUUAACAGUUGGGCUGCAGAGGAUACUAUAGAGCUAGGAGGCGGGAGAGGCAAGCGGUACUUAGUGGGUAGGGGUAAAAUCCGUUGAUCCACUGAAGACCACCAGUGGCGAAGGCGGCUUGCCAGAACGCGCUCGACGGUGAGGGAUGAAAGCUGGGGGAGCAAACCGGAUUAGAUACCCGGGUAGUCCCAGCUGUAAACGAUGCAGACUCGGUGAUGAAUAGGCUUCGUGCCUAUUCAGUGCCGCAGGGAAGCCGUUAAGUCUGCCGCCUGGGGAGUACGGUCGCAAGACUGAAACUUAAAGGAAUUGGCGGGGGAG